AGAAAAAAAAUAUCUUAAUGACAACGUCACCUCCAAUUUUUGACUAAUGUGAACCUUCGUAUCUUCUUCCUAGCACCUCUCUCUCUCUCUCUAGAACUCACCAAUCCCUAACCGAAAGCCCCUCUCUCUCUCAACUCACCGAUUCUAGGGUUCUUUUAGAUCACCGUUCCCAAUUCUGAAUUUCUUCGAUACCAAUUAUUACCGAUCUAUUCGAUUUUCCCUAUUCUUUCUUCUUGUCGGAGAAAAUUGACGGUCGAUGAACGUUUUUUUUUUUUUUUUGUUGUUGUGAUCUAGGAUUUCGAGUCAUUAGUUUCCUUUGAAUCUUCCAUUAUAAUUUAACUUUUCUUUGAUGAAAUCGAGGCUUUGCUUCAAAAGAGCUAUCUUGAUAUUUUAGAUAUUUUUUUUUUUGAAAAAAAUAAUGUGUGGUUGAUACGUUUUCAAGGUUUGGUUUGGUUAUACACCGGAAGUUUUGUACCGAGUUGCUUGAUUUUUGGAUUUGAGUUUUGUUUCUCUCGUCUGUUUUCUUAGGGUUCUUUUUAGGUUUUUUUCUAGUGUUCAUAAUGGUGAGUUCGGAGGGUUUGAGUGCUUCUUCGCCUCUGCCGCAUCAGCCGCCGAAGCAAUAUGGCGUGACGAGUCCAAUAUCUUUAGCGGGACCUACAGAGGCUGAUACACAGAGAAGCUUGGAGCUUGAGAAGUUUUUGGUUGAUGCUGCUCUUUAUGAAAGCGAGGAAGAAGCUGCCAAGAGAGAGAAGGUUCUUGAUCGUAUUAAGCAGAUUGUGAAAGAUUGGGUGAAACAACUCACUCGCUUGAGAGGGUACUCAGAUCAGAUGGUUGAGAAUGCAAAUGCUGUGAUAUUUACUUUUGGUUCUUACAGACUUGGGGUUCAUGGUCCCGGAGCUGACAUAGAUACUUUAUGUGUUGGGCCGUCUUAUAUAAAUCGAGAGGAAGACUUCUUCUUUAUACUGCAUAACAUCUUGGCAGAUAUGGAAGAAGUUACAGAACUGCAACCAGUUCCAGACGCUCAUGUCCCAGUUAUGAGAUUUAAGUUUGAUGGGGUAUCGAUUGAUCUUCUUUACGCAAGUGCAUCCCUUUUGGUCGUCCCAGAAGAAUUGGACAUCUCCCAUGUGUCUGUUUUGUAUGAUGUUGAUGAGCCAACUGUUCGGAGUCUUAAUGGAUGCAGAGUUGCUGAUCAGAUUCUUAAGCUUGUUCCAAAUGUUAAGCAUUUUCGCACUACACUCCGUUGUUUAAAAUUUUGGGCUAAAAGGCGUGGUGUUUAUUCAAAUGUGACUGGAUUUCUUGGCGGUGUGAACUGGGCUCUUCUUGUAGCUCGGGUGUGUCAGCUUUAUCCCAAUGCGGUUCCCAGUAUGUUGGUUUCCCGAUUUUUCAGGGUAUAUACGCAGUGGAAUUGGCCAAAUCCUGUGAUGCUUUGUGCAAUAGAAGAGGAUGCACUUGGAUUCUCUGUGUGGGAUCCGCGUAAGAAUCCUCGGGACCGAACUCAUCACAUGCCAAUCAUAACACCUGCCUACCCUUGCAUGAAUUCUAGCUACAAUGUGUCAGUUAGUACUCUUCGGGUUAUGAUGGAGCAGUUUCAAUUUGGUAACAAGAUCUGUGAGGAGAUAGAGUUGAAUAAAGACCAGUGGGGUGCUAUGUUUGAGCCAUAUUUGUUCUUCGAAAGCUAUAAAAAUUAUCUGCAGGUUGACAUAGUUGCAGCUGACGUUGAUGACUUGCGUGCUUGGAAAGGCUGGGUUGAAUCACGGCUUAGAUACCUGACUCUGAUGAUAGAGCGUGACACAUUUGGGAAGUUGCAAUGCCAUCCGUAUCCACACGAGUAUGUUGAUACUUCUAAGCAGUGUUGCCAUUGUGCCUUUUUUAUGGGUUUGCAAAGGAAACAAGGAGAGAGAGUACAAGAAGGCCAGCAGUUUGAUAUUCGCUCCACUGUUGAUGAGUUCAGGCAUUCGGUGAAUAUGUACAUGUUCUGGAAACCAGGGAUGGAAAUCUACGUUUCUCAUGUUCGUAGAAAGCAGAUUCCGUCUUAUGUUUUUCCAGAUGGUUAUAAAAGAAGUCGACUGCCAAGACUCACAAACCAGCAGACUGAAAAUCAAUCUCGGCAUGAUGGUGAAGUUUGUAGGUCUGGAUCUGGUGAAAGAUGCCUCAAGAGGAAAAAAGAUCAAGAAGAAGGGGUGGAUAUGAAGCAUGAUAGUCCAGAGAAACGACAAUCAAUUAGCUCCCAGCAGCGGGAUUCAGUUUCUCCUGAAAUUUUUAGUCAUAGGUUUGACAGCACCUCUAAGGGGUGUUUGGCAUCGUGUUCUAUUAAAAGACAAGAAAGUUCAGGAGGCAAUAAAGUGUGCCAGCUUGGCAUGGCCAAAAUGGGUGAUGCCCCUAUUAACUCGGGGAAUGCUGAGACUGGAGCUACUAGGAAUGAGUCACGGGAGAUGGUAGGUGGAGAUAAAGAAACCAGCCUAGAGCUAGUCAAAUCAGAUAAAGAGAUACCAUGCUCCAACAAUGCCGAGGCUGUUUGCCUCGCAAAUUCAAGUGUUGUCACAAACCUUUCAAGGGAGGUCAGCUCCUGGGAGGAUGUUGGAUUUGAGUCGGUGGUAGGUAGUAGUGAGGGUAACCCAGGAAGUUUUGCAGGGAGUAACAACCAGGGGUCUUCGCAGGGAUCAUGUGAAGGGGAUUCUGAGAUGCUUCUGGAUAAUGGGUGUGACAAUGGUGGCAGAGUGUAUCAAGCUGGAUUGCAGCAAGUGUUAGAGGGUGGAGUUAGCUUGGAACCUGUGCAGACGACAGUGAUAAGCCGGUUGAGUCUGACAUCGACAGCAUGAAAAAUAAAAGCUUGGAUCAAUUGGAAUCCUUAAUGCCUUGUCCAGGAGAGAGACAGAAAGCCAGCAGUUCGGUCUUCUUGGUCACCAACGAUACUUUUAACCUUGGAAGAUUUGGAGCUUUUAGAAUGGUACUCCAAUUGCCAAGUGAAUCAAUUUAGUUCAUAGAAACGUUCCAAGAUGUUUCGCCCCUCAAUUGGCAUAUGUGCAGGAGGCCUUUUUCCUCGAACAAGCUUAAUUGCAGAAUUAGUUAUUCUUGAUUGAGACGAUCUGAUGGAUGAAUCUGAUUUAGUAUAUUCUAAUAUGGUGUGAUAUAGCAAUGAGGUGUUUUUAUCUUUACAGGUGAUAUGUUGAUAUAUAGCAAUGAGAUGUUUUGGCUCCUCAAUUGACAUAUGUGGUGUGUGCAUACUUAUAUAUUUAUAUAGAGGCUUACCAAAUUUACUAUUUUUGAACUUUAGAUUUUUUGUCCACUUAUAUAUAAACAUAUAUUGACAGCAUGGUGGUAUUAUUAGUGUGGGGGGAGGGAGAGAGAGAUAGAGAGUCCUAACCCAUUGCAAAAAAAAAAAAAAACAGAAAAAGAAAAAAGGUUUGACCCAGGCCAUCCUUCUGGUCCGAAAAUAUUUGGGUUGGGCGCCAUGGGUUGAAGCUUGAUUUUGAGUUAUCUUGGGCCAGCCCAACCCAAAGUCGGGUUGAGGUUGGGCUCGGAUUGGGCUGGGUAGGGCCAGCCCAAGUUUUUACCCG
This is an RNA transcript of Cornus florida, 3557 nucleotides long. It is a transcript of the gene named nuclear poly(A) polymerase 4-like, with no coding region annotated. The transcript is spliced from 13 exons. Lineage: Eukaryota; Viridiplantae; Streptophyta; Magnoliopsida; Cornales; Cornaceae. The record is from RefSeq and is a predicted model, not a curated record.